This 821-nucleotide long non-coding RNA is filed under the name Coffea arabica (coffee). RNAcentral's name for it is "long non-coding RNA (CARA_LNC003435)". The record is from RNAcentral. Lineage: Eukaryota; Viridiplantae; Streptophyta; Magnoliopsida; Gentianales; Rubiaceae.
UAACAUUUGCUAAAUCACUUCAAAACAAUUGGGCGGUGAAUGAAAGAAAACUGAGGAGGAACUAUCAGCUAAUAAACUAAGCUGUGGCUGAGGAAACAAAUAGAAAUUUGCUUGCUAAGUCCAAGCGGUGACCGAGAGGAAACAAGGAGAAGCUAUCUGCCAAUAUAUUUGGGCGGUGGCCGAGAGUAAAAACUGAGAGAGAGUGGGAGAGAAAGGUUGGCUAGCUUCAUCACCAACUAACCAAAAAACAAGGAAGAGUAACGCGAGGGAAUAACGGGAGCUGUUAGAAGGAGCCAGAGCAGAGGACCGAAAGACUAGCUGCAAUUCACUGAUCCUAUGUGGAAAGGUAAAAAUUCUGCAAUCUUCUCUUGUACAGCUAAUACACAUAAAGUUUAAGCUGUAUGUUGAAGUUUAGCAAAGAAAAUGAGUCCCUCACUAAGGUAAAAUUCUGUUUAGAGGAUAUUCAAGUGUUGCUGUACUCCAACAACAGCACUCGACUAUCAUGUACGUUGAUGCAGCAGUGGACCAGCGAAGAGAUAAGUUUGGCAUUGGUAUAGCAGCUAAGGCUAAUGAGGGAAAUCUAAUCUCUACAUGGUCAAUCCCAACCGCAGCUAAAGGAGAGGCUGCAAUCAUGGAAGCUCAUGCUAUCAGAACUGCCUUGCUCAAAGCAUUGAAGGAAAAUUGGACGUCCAUCUUGGUACUUUCUGAUUGCAAAGUUCUUGUUGACAAAUUGAAUCUUAGGAAUGAGGACCUAUCUGACAUAAACAUUAUCCUGAGAGAUAUCAGGACAUUGAGUAGGUCUUUUUGGCGUUGUACUUUCU